Molecule: ribosomal RNA, 301 nt
Filed under: uncultured bacterium
Lineage: Bacteria
Description: partial 16S ribosomal RNA
Rfam family: Bacterial small subunit ribosomal RNA
Source: RNAcentral
CAGCCGCCACGGUAAUACAGAGGGUGCGAGCGUUAAUCGGAUUUACUGGGCGUAAAGCGUGCGUAGGCGGCUUCUUAAGUCGGAUGUGAAAUCCCUGAGCUUAACUUAGGAAUUGCAUUCGAUACUGGCAGGCUAGAGUCUUGUAGAGGGGGGUAGAAUUCCAGGUGUAGCGGUGAAAUGCGUAGAGAUCUGGAGGAAUACCGGUGGCGAAGGCGGCCCCCUGGACAAAGACUGACGCUCAGGUGCGAAAGCGUGGGGAGCAAACAGGAUUAGAUACCCGGGUAGUCCCUGUCUCUUAUAC